This is a long non-coding RNA of Dermacentor albipictus, 338 nucleotides long. RefSeq lists it as uncharacterized. The record is from RefSeq and is a predicted model, not a curated record. Lineage: Eukaryota; Metazoa; Arthropoda; Arachnida; Ixodida; Ixodidae.
UCAGCUUGGCGAAGGUUAGCAGAGACAUUCUAUAUGUCGUUCGGUUGUGUGGCGUGGUUGCUGGGGCGUUUCUGACACUCCACACCUUGUAUGCAAUGCCUACCAGGAGGUCAUAGCGAGACCGGAAAUGAGCUCACAGUGCUUGCGUAACUGGUCAGCCACCAUAAAUAUGCAAUGAAACGUGCGUCUAGGCCCAAGAUUAAGGAUGAGCAGGCAAGAUACUCCAUUCUGCUCCCGUGUCGUCUAGGAAGUCCAACUCCCUGAUAGCGUUAUUGAUGAAAAAUAUGUGACUGGUGAGCUCCUGGAAGACUGCAAAUCACUGGUAGCGCUCCUUCCGC